This 902-nucleotide ribosomal RNA is filed under the name uncultured archaeon. RNAcentral's name for it is "bacterial SSU rRNA". It matches the Rfam family "Archaeal small subunit ribosomal RNA", at positions 1 to 922 of the family's 1478-position model. The record is from RNAcentral.
UUCCGGUUGAUCCUGCCGGAGGCGACCGCUUUUGGAGUUCGAUUAAGCCAUGCGAGUCGAGAGCCUUGGGGGCUCGGCAUACUGCUCAGUAACACGUGGAUAACCUGCCCUAUUGUCUGGAAUAACCUCGGGAAACUGAGAACAAGGCCGGAUAACCCACUAUGCCUGGAACGGUUUGUGGGUGAAGAUAGGAUGGGUCUGCGGCGUAUCAGGUCGUAGGGGGUGUAAUGGACCUCCUAGCCAUCGACGCGUACGGGUGUUGGGAGACAUAGCCCGGAGAUGGAUUCUGAGACACGAAUCCAGACCCUACGGGGUGCAGCAGGCGCGAAAACUUCACACUGCAGGAAACUGUGAUGAGGGAACUCCAAGUGCAUCCACUAUGUGGAUGCUUUUUUUGACUAUUAAUCGGUCAACGAAUAAGGGCUGGGAAAGACCGGUGCCAGCCGCCGCGGUAAUACCGGCAGCUCAAGUGGUCGUCGCUUUUAUUGGGCCUAAAACGUCCGUAGCCUGUUUGGUAAAUCUAUGGGUAAAUCAACCAGCUUAACUGGUUGAAUUCUGCAGAGACUGCCAGACUAGGGACCGGGAGAGGUGUGGGGUACUCUAGGGGUAGGGGUAAAAUCCUGUCAUCCUUAGAGGACCACCAGUUGCGAAGGCGCCACACUGGAACGGAUCCGACGGUCAGGGACGAAGCCUAGGGGCACGAACCGGAUUAGAUACCCGGGUAGUCCUAGGUGUAAACGCUGUGAACUUGGUGUCGGGGAUCCGCAAUGGGUCCUCGGUGCCGGAGUGAAGAUGUUAAGUUCACUGCCUGGGGAGUACGGUCGCAAGGCUGAAACUUAAAGGAAUUGGCGGGGGAGCACUGCAACGGGAGGAGCGUGCGGUUUAAUUGGAUCAACGCCGGA